This 397-nucleotide ribosomal RNA is filed under the name uncultured bacterium. Its description in RNAcentral is "partial 16S ribosomal RNA". It matches the Rfam family "Bacterial small subunit ribosomal RNA", at positions 523 to 918 of the family's 1533-position model. The record is from RNAcentral.
AUACGUAGGGGGCGAGCGUUGUCCGGAAUGAUUGGGCGUAAAGGGCGCGUAGGCGGCUUUGCAAGUCAGUAGUGGAAGUCCAUUUUUCAAGGAUGGAAGUGCUACAGAAACUGCGGAGCUUGAGUGCAGGAGAGGUUAUCGGAAUUCCCGGUGUAGCGGUGAAAUGCGUAGAGAUCGGGAGGAACACCAGUGGCGAAGGCGGGUAACUGGACUGCAACUGACGCUGAGGCGCGAAAGUGUGGGGAGCAAACAGGAUUAGAUACCCUGGUAGUCCACACUGUAAACGAUGAAUGCUAGGUGUAGGAGGUAUCGACCCCUUCUGUGCCGCAGUUAACACAAUAAGUAUUCCGCCUGGGGAGUACGGCCGCAAGGUUGAAACUCAAAGGAAUUGACGGGG